AUUCACCAGGACCUUCUGGAACCCUCCAUGGCCCCACACCAAGCACGGCCCCGGCGCCCAAGCUCGGCCACCUGCAGUCUCCUGGGGUGGGGCUGUCGGAUUUAUGGCAUGCUUUCUGGGUUCUCAUUGCUGAGCCAAUCCCAAAGUAGGGGAAGGGGCUGGAUUCAUCACCCGCCCCUCGGCUUUCGAGCUCCAGACAAGGCCGUCGCUGGGGAGGCGUCUGUGCUCUCCCGGGCUCCUGCAGCUCCAGAGGGUUCGGGCUCUGAAGCAGGUGAGGGUGUUGCUAGGCUGCUGUUUCCUACUGGCUGCCGCCCCGCUCCUGCUUGUACAGUCUCUGCUCCCGGAUGGCUUGUUCCAACAAGGGCAGGUUCAUCCCCUCCACACAGGUCAGCACGCGCGCCUUCACCACGGAGCCUCUGUCUGCAAGACAAACACCAGGGCACGAACGGCGACUGAGCGGCGUGUCAACAACGUCCUCCAAGGUGCAUUCCAGCUGUUCCCUCCACAGCUCAGUCCUGGGUUUUGGCAGCAAGUGAUGUGGACAAUAACAGCAUAUGGGGCAAAGGCAACUGAGUAUUUGGGCCUAGAACCGUGGGCCUGUCAUGCACAGUCGGCCCGUGUCUGGAACUUAGCAGGUGGUCAGAAAACCCCUCUGGACUGAGGGAAAGGCCCCCUUGGCACCUUGGGACACAAUGUCAUCAGGAACCGGGGAAAAGAGACACCCAUAUUUUAAAAAUCCAAGAGACUGAGCUCCCGGUGAACUGGCUCACACCUGUAAUCUCAGCACUUUGGGAGGCCAAGGCAUGUGGAACACUUGAGGUCAGGAGUUCAAGACCAGCCUGGCCAACAUGAUGAAACCCCAUCUCUACUAAAAAUACAAAAAUUAGCCGCGUGUAGUGGUGCAUGCCUGUAAUCCCAGCUACUUGGAAGGCUGAGGCAGGAGAAUUGCUUGAACCCAGGAGGUGGAGGUUGCAGUGAGCCAAGAUCACGCCACUGCACUCCAGCCUGGGCAACAGAGCAAGACUCCACCUAAAAAAAAAAAUUUUUUUUUUGAGACAGGGUGUUGCUCUGUCACUUGGGCUGGAAUGCAGUGGCUCAAUCAUGGCUCAAUGUAGCCUCCACCUCCCAGGCUCAGGUGAUCAUCUCAGCUUCCUGAGGAGCUGGGACUACAGGGACGCACCACCACACCCAGCUAAUUUUUGUAUUUCUUGUAGAGAUGGGGUCUCGCCAUGUUGCCCAGGCUGGUUUCAAACUCCUGGGGUCAAGUGAUCUGCCCGCCUCGGCCUCCCAACAUGCAUGGAUUAUAGGCGUGAGCCACUGUGCAUUGCUGACAUUUUUUUUUUCUUUCUUUUUUCCCCAGUCAUAGCUUGCAAGAGAAAAAAAAAAGUUAAAAAAAUUUUUUGCACUCAUGCUCUUUCUGCUCUCUGAGCACUUUAAUAAAUAGAUUUCCGAGAUGGGUGGAUCACCUGAGGUCAGGAGUUCAUGACCAGCUUGGCCAACACGGCAAAACCCCGUCUCUACUAAAAAUACAAAAAUUAGCCAGGUGUGGUAGCUGGCACCUGUAAACCCAGCUACUCGGGAGGCUGAGGCAGGAGAAUCGCUUGAACCUGGGAGGCAGACGUUGCAGUGAGCCGAGAUCAAGCCACUGCACUCCAGCCUGGGCAACAGAGUGAGACUCUGUCUCAAAAUAAGUAAAUAAAUAGAUUCAAUGUUCUAGGCUA
This is a long non-coding RNA of Homo sapiens (human), 1721 nucleotides long. RefSeq lists it as uncharacterized. NCBI's taxonomy places the organism in Eukaryota, Metazoa, Chordata, Mammalia, Primates, Hominidae. The transcript has 2 exons. The record is from RefSeq and is a predicted model, not a curated record.